ACUUUUUGCAAGUGCUAAUAAAAAGGAAGUGCCAAGAAACAGAAGAGAUUGCAUUUCCUCUAAGCCUGAGUAGCACAUACAAUAAAAAAAAUGUUGCAGAAAACCUAGUGGGACUGAAUGGGAGCUUGUCAUACAGAAACUCACUGCAACCUUCUGUGGGCUUCAAAACUCAGAGUGAUAAAAAUCUCUGCAGCUAUGGUAAAGCAGAGUAACAAAGAAUAGCAAAGUCACCUUGACUGGAGGUUUAAUAGUGAUUCCUCUGUCUGCUUAAAGUGCCUGGAAUUUCAGAAGCAAAGGUCCAAAUGAGAACACAGCUCUUCAGCAG
Lagopus leucura (white-tailed ptarmigan) is the source of this 325-nucleotide long non-coding RNA. RefSeq lists it as uncharacterized. NCBI's taxonomy places the organism in Eukaryota, Metazoa, Chordata, Aves, Galliformes, Phasianidae. The transcript has 3 exons. The record is from RefSeq and is a predicted model, not a curated record.